RNAcentral lists this ribosomal RNA (253 nucleotides) under uncultured bacterium. Its description in RNAcentral is "partial 16S ribosomal RNA". It matches the Rfam family "Bacterial small subunit ribosomal RNA", at positions 524 to 776 of the family's 1533-position model. The record is from RNAcentral.
GACGAACCGUGCGAACGUUGUUCGGAAUCACUGGGCUUAAAGGGCGCGUAGGCGGGCUCUCAAGUCAGGGGUGAAAGCCCGCGGCUCAACCGCGGAAGUGCCUCUGAUACUGGGGGCCUGGAGGGAGGUAGGGGCGUGCGGAACUUCCGGUGGAGCGGUGAAAUGCGUAGAUAUCGGAAGGAACACCAGUGGCGAAGGCGACUACCUGGCCUGUUCUUGACGCUGAGGCGCGAAAGCUAGGGGAGCAAACGGG